RNAcentral lists this ribosomal RNA (507 nucleotides) under uncultured Acidobacteriota bacterium. RNAcentral describes it as "bacterial SSU rRNA". It matches the Rfam family "Bacterial small subunit ribosomal RNA", at positions 1 to 521 of the family's 1533-position model. The record is from RNAcentral. Lineage: Bacteria; Pseudomonadati; Acidobacteriota.
AAAAAAAAGAGUUUGAUCCUGGCUCAGAAUCAACGCUGGCGGCGUGCCUCAGACAUGCAAGUCGAACGAUUAAGACUUCCUUCGGGAAGUGUAUAAAGUGGCGCACGGGUGAGUAACACGUAAGUAAUCUACCUUCGAGUGGGGAAUAACGUCCGGAAACGGACGCUAAUACCGCAUAAUGCAGCGGCAUCUAUGAUGACAGUUGUUAAAGGAGCAAUCCGCUUGAAGAGGAGCUUGCGGCAGAUUAGCUAGUUGGUAAGGUAAUGGCUUACCAAGGCUACGAUCUGUAACCGGUCUAAGAGGACGGUCGGUCACACUGACACUGAAUAACGGGUCAGACUCCUACGGGAGGCAGCAGUCGGGAAUUUUGGGCAAUGGGCGAAAGCCUGACCCAGCAACGCCGCGUGAAGGAUGAAGUAUUUCGGUAUGUAAACUUCGAAAGAAUGGGAAGAAUAAAUGACGGUACCAUUUAUAAGGUCCGGCUAACUACGUGCCAGCAGCCGCAGU